Molecule: ribosomal RNA, 720 nt
Filed under: uncultured anaerobic ammonium-oxidizing bacterium
Lineage: Bacteria
Description: bacterial SSU rRNA
Rfam family: Bacterial small subunit ribosomal RNA
Source: RNAcentral
GAGCACGUAGGUGGGUUUGUAAGUCAGGUGUGAAAGCCUUCUGUUCAACGGAAGAAUUGCAUCUGAAACUGCGAGUCUUGAGUGUAGGAGGGGAGAAUGGAACUUCUGGUGGAGCGGUGAAAUGCGUAGAUAUCAGAAGGAACGCCGGCGGCGAAAGCGAUUCUCUGGCCUAUUACUGACACUCAGUGUGCGAAAGCUAGGGGAGCAAACGGGAUUAGAUACCCCGGUAGUCCUAGCCGUAAACGAUGGGCACUAAGUAAAGGGAAUUACCGAUGUUCUCUCUGCCGUAGCUAACGCAUUAAGUGCCCCGCCCGGGGAGUACGGCCGCAAGGCUAAAACUCAAAAGAAUUGACGGGGGCUCGCACAAGCGGUGGAGCAUGUGGCUUAAUUCGAUGCAACGCGAAAAACCUUACCGGGGCUUGACAUGGUAGAAGUAGGAACCCGUAAGGGCAACGAACGGUAUCCAGUCCGUAGCUAUCACAGGUGUUGCAUGGCUGUCGUCAGCUCGUGUCGUGAGACGUUGGGUUAAGUCCCCUAACGAGCGAAACCCUUGUUUUUAGUUACCAGCGGGUUAUGCCGGGUACUCUAGAAAGACUGCCGUCGUCAAGACGGAGGAAGGUGGGGAUGACGUCAAGUCAUCAUGGCCCUUAUGCCCCGGGCUGCACACGUGCUACAAUGGUCGGUACAAACGGAUGCGAAGCCGAGAGGUGAAGCGAAUCC